GAUGAACGCUGGCGGCGUGCCUAAUACAUGCAAGUCGAGCGAACAGACGAGGAGCUUGCUCCUCUGACGUUAGCGGCGGACGGGUGAGUAACACGUGGAUAACCUACCUAUAAGACUGGGAUAACUUCGGGAAACCGGAGCUAAUACCGGAUAAUAUAUUGAACCGCAUGGUUCAAUAGUGAAAGACGGUUUUGCUGUCCCUUAUAGAUGGAUCCGCGCCGCAUUAGCUAGUUGGUAAGGUAACGGCUUACCAAGGCAACGAUGCGUAGCCGACCGGAGAGGGGGAUCGGCCACACUGGAACUGAGACACGGUCCAGACUCCUACGGGAGGCAGCAGUAGGGAAUCUUCCGCAAUGGGCGAAAGCCUGACGGAGCAACGCCGCGUGAGUGAUGAAGGUCUUCGGAUCGUAAAACUCUGUUAUUAGGGAAGAACAAAUGUGUAAGUAACUAUGCACGUCUUGACGGUACCUAAUCAGAAAGCCACGGCUAACUACGUG
This 497-nucleotide ribosomal RNA is filed under the name uncultured bacterium. RNAcentral's name for it is "partial 16S ribosomal RNA". It matches the Rfam family "Bacterial small subunit ribosomal RNA", at positions 28 to 507 of the family's 1533-position model. The record is from RNAcentral.